UAAAGUCAAAUUAAUUGGUUAAAGCUAAUAAAUUACUACUAUUAAGUACAACAACUCUACUUAUUAUUGUAAGAGUAAAAUCUUUAUAAAUAAGAUAGGAAUGUGUUAAUGUAACAUUAAUUCUCUUACGAGGCGCUAGCAUAAAGACUAGGAUUAGAUACCCUAUUAUGGGCGUGAGUAUGAAAGUUUAUUAAGUUAAUAGCCUUAAUUAAAGCAAAAUCUAUUUACUAUGGCGGCUGUUAGUCUCACCAGAGUCGUAUGUCCUUAAACGAAACUGCGCGAUCAUCUUACCUUUUAACUUUUGCUAAUAUGAAAUAAUUACAUUAUAGCAAUCUGGCACGUCGCUGUGCUAAAAGUGAAGAUUUUAAAUAACUCAUCUUCUAAUUACUUAUUAGCAUUUAUUAAUAAUGUACAAGUCAAGACGCCGUUUUAAGAGGCUUAAGAUGUACGAUUUAAUUGAUUUGAUAGAAUUCAUAAGAAUGAAAACUUUCUUUAUUAAAAUAAUUUGGAAGUAAAAUAGGGUUAUUAUUCUUAUUUGAAAUGAGCUACUAAUAAGU
RNAcentral lists this ribosomal RNA (557 nucleotides) under Pediculus humanus (human louse). Its description in RNAcentral is "partial 12S ribosomal RNA". Lineage: Eukaryota; Metazoa; Arthropoda; Insecta; Psocodea; Pediculidae. The record is from RNAcentral.